RNAcentral lists this ribosomal RNA (28 nucleotides) under Laminaria pallida. RNAcentral describes it as "partial small subunit ribosomal RNA". The record is from RNAcentral. Lineage: Eukaryota; Phaeophyceae; Laminariales; Laminariaceae.
GAAGAUUCCGGACCGUGGCUCGCGUGCU